UUAAAGAAAUAAGAUCGCCUGAGGAAAGGCAAGGAUCUGGAUCAUAUAAUCAUGGGGGGCCUGCUGAGUUUAUACAGGCUACGGAUAUAGCUCAGUUAUUGGAGCUGGAUUCAAUAGGUGGAGAGUAUACUUGGACAAAUAACUCCCCAGGGCCUAAUUUCACUCAAACAAAGUUGGAUAGGGCCUUUGCAAACCAAAUUUGGAUUGGUACUUGGCCUGAAGCAAGGGUGGAAUUUCACAAUGGAACCAGUGACCACAAAGCUAUGCUAAUCACAUUAUCUCAGGU
Molecule: long non-coding RNA, 286 nt
Filed under: Zostera marina
Lineage: Eukaryota; Viridiplantae; Streptophyta; Magnoliopsida; Alismatales; Zosteraceae
Description: long non-coding RNA (ZMAR_LNC004477)
Source: RNAcentral